RNAcentral lists this long non-coding RNA (392 nucleotides) under Dromaius novaehollandiae (emu). Its description in RNAcentral is "lncRNA (ENSDNVG00000005289.1)". Lineage: Eukaryota; Metazoa; Chordata; Aves; Casuariiformes; Dromaiidae. The record is from RNAcentral.
AUGAACACCAGGGCUUUAUCUCAAAUGCACAUGAAGACGACUCUUGUGUUGGGUCAGCUGGAAGUUAUCCUCCUUUAUCGUAGGGAUUUCAGUGUGGAUGUGACACCUUUCCCACCUUCAGGUGUACUACAGGAUACAACCAAGGAAACUCACUGGGCUGGAUUCAUUAGAACUAUCAAAAUGUCUGCCAUGAAUUGAAGAUGAGCUGUAAAGAUCAGAUUAGGGAUGAAUUUCUACCUUCCUUACCCUAACGUUCAGAAUUAUUCAGAGAAGAACCAAAUCCAGGGUGAUUCUGGAUCAUUAUAAAUUCAGAGCUGGAAUGAACCUCAAAGGAUGAGCUAUCCCAAUUUCUUCACCAAGGCAAGUUCAGCUAUAUUGAACCACUGUCAAAG